Lactuca sativa (garden lettuce) is the source of this 1708-nucleotide non-coding RNA. Lineage: Eukaryota; Viridiplantae; Streptophyta; Magnoliopsida; Asterales; Asteraceae. The record is from RefSeq and is a predicted model, not a curated record.
AGACGCCUCCUGCUUUUGUUGGUUUAUCUGCAUCAUCAGGGUAUAUAAGGAAUAAACCCUUAGAUGGAAUGAAAAAUAUGUAUGUUCAUUGGCGGCGAGAGAGGGUGAGAGACAUCGAAGUUGUGAAGGAAUGUUAUGAAAGAAGAAGAACCGUGAGGAAGGAGCUGCCAUCGUUGGGUUUCUUCGCCAGUUGGAACUCUCACUGGAGCAUUAUUUGAGACAAGGAGGUGGGGAUAUUUUAGCGAGAAUGGGGUCAUUCCUUCAGCUCCAAAUCUGCUCGACACCUUGAACCAGGUAGGGAGGCGUUCCCGAUGGUUGCGUCGUUCUCCGACACUGUGUGGGCCUCCGGCGAAUUUCGUAUGUUCUACAGAGCAGGGAAGGUAGCGACUGUCUUGAGACCUCCAGCAACAUCCGUAAGGGAGAAGGCGAGUUGCUAGUCUUCGAUGGCCAUAAAGAAGGAGAGGAAUCGAUAACAGUCAGGGUGUAGGUCCGCGUGAUUCUUAAUUUGGUUAUGGGGCUUGCGUUUCUGAUGAAGGAGGAUUCGGCAACCACUGAUGGAUGCUCUAGUGUGCCAUCUGGAUAACAUGUAAGAUUGGACUCUUGUUGGGCUUUUAAUGAGCUGGUAUGUAUCAAGUUAUGUAAUGGGCUGGUGGCAUGUUUUGGGUUAUGCGAAGUUGGGCUAUUGGGUUAAAAUGAUUGUCCUAUGAAGGGGCAUAACUAGCAAAUGAGAUCGGGAAUCUGUCAUUUAGCAGCUGGGGCCGAGUCUGCGGGACUUCAGCAGUGUGGGAUUGAGUCUGCGGGACUUCAGCAGUGCGAGGUGAGUUUCCUUCCAGUAGGAACGGGUCUACGGCCACAAUGCCGACCCGUUUAGUUAGCAGUAGUUCCGGACUACAGUCUGAUGCAGUAGUUUAUUAUGUUUGGUGUCUUUGUGAUACAUAUGAGUUAUGUGUUCCAGACUAUGGUUCGAUGCAGUAUGCAGUAUAUGUGUUUAUAUUAUAUGCUAUGAUUAUGUUAUGUUAUGUUCAGCUAGUUUCGGACCUCGGUUUGAUGCAUUAGUUAGAGUGCUUGAUGUCUUUGUGAUUUAUGCAUGUGUUGUGUUAUGUGUUCCGGACUCUGUUCCGAUGCAGUAUGCACUAUAUGUAUUCAUGAUGGUUGAUAUGUUACGAUAUGCUAUGUUCAGUCAGUUUCCGGACUUUGGUCUGAUGUAGGGGAUGGGGUCCUAGUCAGUUCCGGACUUCGGUCCGUUGCAGGGGACGGGGUCCCAGUCAGUUCCGGACUCGGACCGAUGCAGCUAGUUCCGGACUUCGGUCUGAUGCAGGGGACGGGGUCCCAAUUAGUUUCGGACUUCGGUCUGAUGCAGUUCCCGGACUUCAGUCCGAUGCAGUGGGCAAGGCCCAAUAUGUGUUUCUAUGUUAUUGUAUGGUAUGUGGUAGUUUGGGGGAGCUCACUAAGCUUUGUGCCUACAGUUUCAGUUUUGGUUUCAGGUACUCAGUUUUCAAAAGAGGAGCUCGGGAAGAUUGCAGUGCACACACCAUUUGUACAGCCUGGGAUGUGUAUACUUUGAUAUACUUGACAAUUGUUAUAAUAUUUUGAGAUACAGUGCUUAUGAUUUUUAUAUGAGGUUUAUUGACUAUGGUUUUUAUUAUUUAAUUAAACGAAUUUUUUAGACUGUGUUUUUGGGAUGUUACAAUACGACUCUGGUUGCUUC